Molecule: ribosomal RNA, 506 nt
Filed under: uncultured bacterium
Lineage: Bacteria
Description: partial 16S ribosomal RNA
Rfam family: Bacterial small subunit ribosomal RNA
Source: RNAcentral
AUUGAACGCUGGCGGCGGGCCUAACACAUGCAAGUCGGACGGUAGCACAGAGGAGCUUGCUCCUCGGGUGACGAGUGGCGGACGGGUGAGUAAUGUCUGGGGAUCUGCCCGAUAGAGGGGGAUAACCACUGGAAACGGUGGCUAAUACCGCAUAACGUCGCAAGACCAAAGAGGGGGACCUUCGGGCCUCUCACUAUCGGAUGAACCCAGAUGGGAUUAGCUAGUAGGCGGGGUAAUGGCCCACCUAGGCGACGAUCCCUAGCAGGUCUGAGAGGAUGACCAGCCACACUGGAACUGGGACACGGUCCAGACUCCUACGGGAGGCAGCAGUGGGGAAUAUUGCACAAUGGGCGCAAGCCUGAUGCAGCCAUGCCGCGUGUAUGAAGAAGGCCUUCGGGUUGUAAAGUACUUUCAGCGGGGAGGAAGGCGAUAAGGUUAAUAACCUUGUCGAUUGACGUUACCCGCAGAAGAAGCACCGGCUAACUCCGUGCCAGCCGCCGCCGUAA